RNAcentral lists this ribosomal RNA (301 nucleotides) under uncultured bacterium. RNAcentral's name for it is "partial 16S ribosomal RNA". It matches the Rfam family "Bacterial small subunit ribosomal RNA", at positions 509 to 808 of the family's 1533-position model. The record is from RNAcentral.
CAGCAGCCGCGGGAAUACGUAGGGUGCAAGCGUUAAUCGGAAUUACUGGGCGUAAAGCGUGCGCAGGCGGUUAUAUAAGUCAGAUGUGAAAUCCCCGGGCUCAACCUGGGAACUGCAUUUGAGACUGUAUGGCUAGAGUGUGUCAGAGGGGGUAGAAUUCCACGUGUAGCAGUGAAAUGCGUAGAUAUGUGGAGGAAUACCGAUGGCGAAGGCAGCCCCCUGGGAUAACACUGACGCUCAUGCACGAAAGCGUGGGGAGCAAACAGGAUUAGAUACCCCGGUAGUCCCUGUCUCUUAUACA